Molecule: ribosomal RNA, 109 nt
Filed under: Gossypium arboreum
Lineage: Eukaryota; Viridiplantae; Streptophyta; Magnoliopsida; Malvales; Malvaceae
Description: 5.8S ribosomal RNA
Rfam family: 5.8S ribosomal RNA
About the family: 5.8S ribosomal RNA (5.8S rRNA) is a component of the large subunit of the eukaryotic ribosome. It is transcribed by RNA polymerase I as part of the 45S precursor that also contains 18S and 28S rRNA.
Source: Rfam by way of RNAcentral
GCGAAAUGCGAUACUUGGUGUGAAUUGCAGAAUCCCGUGAACCAUCGAGUCUUUGAACGCAAGUUGUGCCCCAAUCCAUUAGGCCGAGGGCACGUCUGCCUGGGUGUCA